Molecule: transfer RNA, 32 nt
Filed under: Hypsiprymnodon moschatus (musky rat kangaroo)
Lineage: Eukaryota; Metazoa; Chordata; Mammalia; Diprotodontia; Potoroidae
Description: partial tRNA-Phe
Source: RNAcentral
CAUAGGUUUGGUCCUGGCCCUACUGUUAAUUG